UGCAAGAAGAAUAUAAAUUAUAA
Molecule: non-coding RNA, 23 nt
Filed under: Drosophila melanogaster (fruit fly)
Lineage: Eukaryota; Metazoa; Arthropoda; Insecta; Diptera; Drosophilidae
Source: RNAcentral